CAAAAGUUGUGUUGAAGAUAUGACGUAAAUGUGGUGCGUAGAGUAGUUUGUUGCCAUACUUUAAAUGUUCUUACUUUACCAUAUGUAAUAGUCUAUACUGUAAUUUCGCCCUUUCAGGGUGACUUCCAGUAAUUUGCCUGUCUCUACCAUGGUAAAACCUCUGUUUACAGUCCCACAUACUGUAACGUAAAAUGCUGUAUUCAAUGUUAUCUGUUUCCCUUCUUCAGAUGCGUCUGUGAUCAAUGUGAUGGAUACAUAUUGAUUGUUUCAUCUCUCUUGUACUCUCUCUUGCUCUACUUAUUUAUAUUUAUCAACCCCCCCCCCCCCCUCCAUACACACACUUACUAACACACAAACACACUGAAUAUUUUAUUGUUGCCAAUCUUAUUUCUCAUUGUCUCAUAAAUAAGAGACAAGUACAGUUUGGAUAUUUAAAAGCAUCAUACAUUCUGUUAAUCUUGUCAACAAAUUCGAAAGCAUCAGUUUACAUGUGCAUUAUAGCAUAAUCUCAUCUCCUGACUACUUUCAUAUUCUCUCGACUUCAGAAUGAACCGUAAAUCAGAAAAUACAGCAAAUGGACUGGAAUUAAUACAAGCUAGCUGUAGCAGAGAGCAGUUUCAUCUUAAUGACGAAUGAGCUCUAAAAUCAGCGUGAAUCAUCAGCCUGCAGGCUGUAAAAUCUGGUUUACUCUGAGGUCCCUCAGGAGAAGACAUUUGGACAGGUUGUGUAUGUGUGUUUCUGUUUGUUUUCUAGGGCGACACGUAUAAAUAGAAUCUGUGAAACCACCUUGGCGGUGUAAUUACAGAAAUGUCAAAUGAAAAAUCUGUCCCACACAGCCACAUUAAAAUGUAGUGAUGUAUUUGAAAUGUGCCAUCUCCAUUCAAAUUAGGUAUAAUCAUCUGAAAAAUGUGACUUGUGCACAAUAUUUGAAAUAUUCUGAAUAAAUACAGCUUUAGAUAAGGGACAGACUGAAAUUUGAUGAUUUAAGUGGAGGAGCAGGUAAAGAUUAGCACUAAAUAAUAACGUAAAUUUCAUCCUGUUGCUCACACAACGUAAUUGCAUAGCUAUAGAAGAAGAAAAAUGUCUUAAGAACAGAUUAUAAACAUCAGAAGUGGGAUGAGGAUGUGGAAGAUUGCUCCAAAAUCAUGGAGUUGUUAUAGAGAAACGAUGAUCACCCUUACAUUUUAAGGGGACGUGGCUAUUUUUAAGACCUUAAAGGCUUUUACGUUUAAGAGAUCAGAAAUGUAACAAGGAGACAUUUAAAACUCUGAAAAAAAUUCUAAGACUAAGCUAAAUUCUAGUGCAUUGAAAUCCAUUGAAGAUAGUCUCUUCCUGAUUCCAGUCAGUAGUAUUAUAUACUGUGUAAUCUUGUGUCGUAUAACAAUCAGUUAAUCGGUCAGUUAGCAAUUACAUGAAUUAAUUACACAUUUAUCAUUUACAUGUGCAAAGCCCUCUUUCAAAACAACCGAUCUAAAUUAAUGUCAUGUUAUCGGAAUAAAUAAUUGAAGUGUUUACGUUCAGGUGUCAACCGUAAGAUUACAUUGCCAGGAAACAAACCAAAGAGACGUUCAUACCAGUUGCCUCCUUUGAUAAGAGAAUCCACUCCACAGCGUGCUGACAGUUUUCCUGGUCCCGUGAUUGACAGUGCUCUCGAACCACAAAUUAUCUCUCCAACCAGCCCUGCAAGCCUGGGAUAGAUUGUUCUGUUACCUUUCACAAAACAAGAGAUGGCACAUGGGCUGUUUCUAAGAGGAACCGUAUGAGAUUAAGUGUGUGUAAAUGAGUCUUAUUUUUUUUUAUUUUUUUCCUAAGCAACACUGUCCAGCAGCAACAGAGGUGGCCUCUCCUUUGAUGCCCUUGAGCUCCUAAAGUGAGGCAUGUAUAUAAUCAGGGUAAAACAAUACUGAUAAAAAAGGUCAGCUGGCUAUUUACACAAAAAUGUCACACACACACACACACACACAUAAUUGCUGUUAAUGUAUUACCAUGUUGUUAUUUUUUCAAGUAAUGUAAAACUGUUUAAAAACACAUAAGACUUUGAUAUGAUUUGCUAUUAAUAAAUAAUAUUGAUUAUGAUAAUAAUCAAAAAUAUAUAUGACCAUGUUGAGAGUGUAAAUGCUGUUUCUAAAGUUUUAACCAUAUGAAAAUCGAAUGGAACUGGAACAUGAACAUGGUAAUAUAUUUGUUCCAUCUAUUAAUUUAUUUUUUAAAU
This is a long non-coding RNA of Cyprinus carpio carpio, 2212 nucleotides long. The record is from Ensembl. Lineage: Eukaryota; Metazoa; Chordata; Actinopteri; Cypriniformes; Cyprinidae.